GCAGUCUUCCUCCCGGCCAGCAGGGGGCGACAGAGCAGCUCCGAGACAAACAGUGAUUAAGUCUGUGUUUACAUGUAGCCGAGCUAGCUUUAGCUUCUGCUGAGCGGUACGUUUAACUAAAUUCACCUGUAAUUACAUCAAAUAUACGUAUUUACUCUGAUAUGAGCUCUUCCUUUAAUCUCUGCCAAACAACAGAGGGACAUAAAACACUAAAGCCCGGCUCUGUUUGUUGGUCGAAGCCUCUUUAUCCCGUUAACGUUAGCCAAACCACGGACGCUGCGAUAUUUCUUUUAGAAAUCGGCGAAUUUAAAGUUUGUCUGCUUAUCAACUAAGUACAGUCCCUUAUAAUAAUUAAGUUAAGACAUGUUACUAAUUAAUAGUAUUCGGGUGUAUAUUCGGCUUACAUACUAAGCACCAGUCACUUCUUAUUUAUUAUAAUUUUGUGUUUACGUAAGAAUUAAUAAUUUUUUAGGAUUUUGGCAGUGGAUCAAUGACGAUAGCUGCCUUUACAUUUCAUUUUUCAACGUAGUUCUUUGUAAACGAAAUGAAAUCUUAAUUAAGCUAUUGAGUACUCUUCUAUCAGUGCAGGUCAGUGUUGGUGCAGAGAAGUUAAAGGUUACUGGUCUUCAACAUGGUCAAACAGCAGCGGAGAACAGACAGGUGUUUUGUACCUGCUGCAGGGAACAGUGUGACGUGGGUUCGUUUUCCUGUUGGCCCCGUACACAGGAGACACCUUCAGCAGGUAGACAGAAACAAUCCCCACAGCUCCAUCACCACAGAAGAAGAGAGAGGAGACCCAGGACCUGACGAAGGUUCAGGAGAGACAAAGAGGGCGAGACUGGACCGAACUGAAGAGGCUGCAGCUCUGACCAAUAGAGAGAAAGUCCCAGGGUCAUGCGGUCAACCAGGAAGUGAGAGCUGCUCCACAGCAGAUGGCGUUUCGUCCAGACUGGCUCCUCCAGACCAGCCGGCGUCAGCAGAGCCCAGUGAGGACAGCAGAGCAGCUGAGCUGCAGAGUGUGAGUUCACUAAAGGUCACCAUCCAGCAGAGCAGUGAGAGCAGAGAGUUUGGACAGACAGACAGGACAGCUGACAGACAGACAGGUGGACUCCACUGUCACGUCUGUGACCUCACCUGUCGCUCUGUGCAGGUGUUUCAGGAGCACAUGGCAGGAUCAGAACACCUGAGGAAACUGAAGGAGAUGACACACUCUAUCUGCCUCAACACACACACACUGCAGAACAGGGGGUGUUUGCCUGAACCGCAGCGCUGGUGUGACACCUGUCAGACUCACUUCAGCGGUGAUAUCAUCGUCCAUCGACGGACAAAACAACACAAGAUGUGUAAGCAGAUGUGUCGUCCCUUCUGUCCGGUGUGUAAACGUCACUUCAGGACUCCCAGGAAGUUUGUGGAGCACAUGAAGUCUGCAGAGCACAAGGAGCAGGUGCACCUGGAGGAGGCUCAGGAGGAAGAGCUGAUCACAGUGGACGCUGUCGGCUGCUUUGAGGGAGAGGAGGAUGAUGAAGAAAAGGAGGUAGAAGAAGUAGAAGUAGCUGAAGAAGAAGAAGAAGAGAGUGUAGGAAAGGAAGAAGCAGAGAAGGAAGUGUCGGCGGUACAACCAAACGUUCAGGCAGCUGUCACACAGAAAACAGACAAGGAGGAAUAUGACCCCCACACCACAUAUGGAAGUAGUUUUGUGCUUCCUGUUUCUGGCUUCCUGUGUCAACUGUGUAAUAAGUUCUUCUACAGAGAGACAACAGCACGACACACACACUGCAGGACACACACGCACUACCUCAACCUGCAGAGCCACAGAGCUAAGAGAACACAUGAAGAUCAGGACAGAUCUGCUCUCACCUGACCUACUCUUGCUGUAUCCCACAAUGCAUCUCUGUAUCCAGGUGAUACUGCUGUAAAGACACAGAACAGGCAUGUUCUUCCAAAAUAAUGAAAACAUUAAACGGGCACUCUCCGUACACGUGGCAUGCCUCACCCUGUCGCGUCCAGAGGGGGCGCUGUCCCCGCUGAACGCAGAGGAUUGUGGGAUCGCAGGAGGCAGUAGCGGAGCAUCAUCAUCAUCA
Molecule: RNA transcript, 2081 nt
Organism: Sander lucioperca (pikeperch)
Lineage: Eukaryota; Metazoa; Chordata; Actinopteri; Perciformes; Percidae
Gene: ciz1b
Gene name: cdkn1a interacting zinc finger protein 1b
Exons: 13
Source: RefSeq, a predicted model, not a curated record